UUCCCUUCCUCUAGGGGGCACCCUGGGACUGUGCAGCUUGCCCAAGGCUACCCAGGCUGGCCCUUCUCCCUGGAGAUGCCCAGUGGGGGAUUUGAACUCCCAACCACAGGCUCUGUAGCUUGAACCCUGAACCACUGAGCUAUCCAGCCAAUGUGGUUCUGUUUGGUGGCUCUCAAUAUGCUUCCUAACUUGCUACUGGCAAGAACGAGGGACUUUCCUUCUUCGUUCACUAGGCCCGGCAGUCCUUCUCUCCUGAACUUCGUCUCUCGGUCUCCGUCCCCACAGGUCCCCCCAAUGGAGAACUACACCAUGGCGGGACGGACGUACCGCUACUAUGGAGACGAUCCUCCGCUGUACCCCUUUGGCUACGGGCUCUCCUACACCCUUUUCCGAUACAGCGACCUGGUGCUGGGAGCCGAGGUGGUGCCCGUUUGUGGGAACCUCAGCCUCUCGGUGGUGGUGGAGAACGUUGGCCCCCGAGACGGCGAGGAGGUGGUGCAGCUCUACCUCCGGUGGGGAGAGGCCUCCGUGCCCGUGCCCCGCUGGCAGCUGGUCGGCUUCCGUCGGGUGAUGGUACCCCAAGGCCAGGCGACCAAGGUGCCCUUCAUGCUCUCCUUCCGCCAGAGAGCCGUCUGGGCCGGGGAGUGGCGCCUGGAGCCCGGCUCUUUCACCCUGUUUGCCGGCGGGCAGCAGCCCUUCCAGCAAACCCGUGCCCCUUCCAACGUCCUGCGAGCAGAUUUCAGCGUCCUCGGAAGCGCCCUCAAGAGAAGCCAGUGCUAAUGAAGAGGACUCCAGGAGAGCACAGCAAACUGCUGGGCCAAGGGAGAUCUUGAGAAUUAACUUCUGCCUUAAGCAAAACCUGAUCAGUAAACCCUGUGCACCAUUGGAAAGCUUGUGAAUUGUGCGAGAGUUUCAUCUUCCCCUGAACACUCAUCACCCUUGGUUUUGUCAACUGCAGUGGCUGGAACUGAUUGCGGUGGAAAUGUGAUAAGACAGGCAAAGAAGCUUCUAGGGAGAAAUAAAGAUUGUCCUCCUUUAAAAAAAAGGAACCA
Molecule: long non-coding RNA, 1052 nt
Filed under: Pogona vitticeps (central bearded dragon)
Lineage: Eukaryota; Metazoa; Chordata; Lepidosauria; Squamata; Agamidae
Description: lncRNA (ENSPVIG00000003633.1)
Source: RNAcentral